GACGAACGCUGGCGGCGUGCUUAACACAUGCAAGUCGAACGGAAAGGCCCUGCUUUUGUGGGGUGCUCGAGUGGCGAACGGGUGAGUAACACGUGAGUAACCUGCCCUUGACUUUGGGAUAACUUCAGGAAACUGGGGCUAAUACCGGAUAGGAGCUCCUGCUGCAUGGUGGGGGUUGGAAAGUUUCGGCGGUUGGGGAUGGACUCGCGGCUUAUCAGCUUGUUGGUGGGGUAGUGGCUUACCAAGGCUUUGACGGGUAGCCGGCCUGAGAGGGUGAUCGGCCACACUGGAACUGAGACACGGUCCAGACUCCUACGGGAGGCAGCAGUAGGGAAUCUUCCGCAAUGGGCGAAAGCCUGACGGAGCAACGCCGCGUGAGUGAUGAAGGUCUUCGGAUCGUAAAACUCUGUUAUUAGGGAAGAACAUAUGUGUAAGUAACUGUGCACAUCUUGACGGUACCUAAUCAGAAAGCCACGGCUAACUACGUG
This 488-nucleotide ribosomal RNA is filed under the name uncultured bacterium. RNAcentral's name for it is "partial 16S ribosomal RNA". It matches the Rfam family "Bacterial small subunit ribosomal RNA", at positions 28 to 507 of the family's 1533-position model. The record is from RNAcentral.